GUGUGGGAAUGGGAAGUGGAAUUAAAUGACUGGCCACCGGGAGAUCCCAUCUGUUACGGCGGACGGAGCGAGGGUGCUCGAUGAAAUAAUUCCCCAAAUCUGUGUUGGGUCUCACCGAUGUAGAGAAGGGAGCACCGGAUGCAAUAAAUGACACAAAAGAGUUACAGCUUCCAUGUGGCUUCAGUUCCACAACAUUUGGGGACUCGUCCGGGAUGCGUUUGGGACCCACUACAUGGCCAGCGACCUCAGCCGUCUAAGGGGAACAAGCCGUGAUUUACCCCCAUUGGGAUAACGGGCAUUGUCAAAGGGGAGGUUCUGCGCGUUCCCCAGCUGAAAUCAGUGCGACUCUUCUAAACAGGCUACUGUUCCACUGGAUGUCGAUUGACAGAAACCGUGAACACAUUCACACUGGGCAACUUCAACCUUCGGCAGAUCAGCAUCACGGCUUGGUAAGGCAACUGCUCUGCCCGGGACGGCAAAAAAACUGCAGCGAGUUGUGGACGCCGCCCAGCGUGUCACGGAAACGAGUCUCCCCUCCUUGGACUAUACCUCUCGCUGCCUUGGUGAAGCAGCCGACACAAAGACUCCACCCGCCCGGGUCCUUCUCUCUUCUCCCCUCUCCCAUCAGGCAGAAGAUACAGGAGCCUGAGGGCACAUACCACCAAGCACAAGGACAGCUUUUAUGCCACGGCGAUAAGACUAUUGAACGUAUAUUUUGUACAAUGAGAUGGACUCUUGAUCUUACAUUCUAUCUUGUUAUGACCUUGCGCCUUAUUGUCUACCUGCAAUGAACUUCCUGAAGCUGUGACACUUUACUCUGUAUUCUGAUAUUGUUUUUACCCUAUACUACCUCAGUGUACUGUGUAAUGAAUUGAUCUGUACGAACGGUAUGCAAGGCAGGUUUUGCACUGUACCUCGGUACACGUGACAAUAGUAAACCAAUACCGGCAGUUGUGCAUGGAAUGGAAAAUUACACACAACUUUUGUAAUUGACUUUUCAUGCAUUAUUCAAUGCACCUGGCGAUACAAGUAUCGCAGAAAGACAUUGAUCCUGUAAUUUGGAACAUAUAACGGCGUAUUUCACUUCGUUAACAAGUGUAAAGGGAUUUUCCAAAUGUGCCCUAUUUUGACUUCUGAAGAAAUCACUGGCGUUUUCACUAAUGCAAGGAUUCCAUCAAAUAAACAGGACCAUGCGCCGUAUCUCAGCGAUUCCGUAUUUUGGCACGUUUGUUUGUUCAGCUCUCAAUGAUACACUGA
This is a long non-coding RNA of Pristis pectinata (smalltooth sawfish), 1257 nucleotides long. RefSeq lists it as uncharacterized. The transcript has 3 exons. Lineage: Eukaryota; Metazoa; Chordata; Chondrichthyes; Rhinopristiformes; Pristidae. The record is from RefSeq and is a predicted model, not a curated record.